GUCUUGAAACACGGACCAAGGAGUCUAACAUGUGCGCAAGUCAUUGGGUCUUGCACAGGCCUAGAGGCGCAAUGAAAGUGAAGGUCGGCCGGGCCGCCGACUGCGUUGGGAUCCCCGCCUUACGAGGUGGGGCGCACCAACGGCCCGUCCCUGCCGCUACGUCGGCGGGGCGGAGUGAGAGCGUACACGUUGGGACCCGAAAGAUGGUGAACUAUGCCUGGGCAGGACGAAGCCAGAGGAAACUCUGGUGGAGGUCCGCAGCGAUUCUGACGUGCAAAUCGAUCGUCAGACCUUGGUAUAGGGGCGAMAGACUAAUCGAACCAUCUAGUAGCUGGUUCCUUCCGAA
Molecule: ribosomal RNA, 346 nt
Filed under: Limulus polyphemus (Atlantic horseshoe crab)
Lineage: Eukaryota; Metazoa; Arthropoda; Merostomata; Xiphosura; Limulidae
Description: eukaryotic LSU rRNA
Rfam family: Eukaryotic large subunit ribosomal RNA
Source: RNAcentral